Molecule: long non-coding RNA, 229 nt
Organism: Phymastichus coffea
Lineage: Eukaryota; Metazoa; Arthropoda; Insecta; Hymenoptera; Eulophidae
Exons: 3
Source: RefSeq, a predicted model, not a curated record
GUUUGAUUUGAAAGAUGACAGAAUCCAAAAAUGACAUUCCAGUAUUACCAAAAGCUCUUCCAAAUGUAAAAGAAGUUAAUAAAGUAGCUCCUUCAAAUGAUGAAGAUGACGUAGAUUGUUUGAAUUUCUAGAUCAUAAUUACUGUAUAAAUCCAAAUCAAUUAUUCAAAAAAAGAAGAAAUUUCAGUUUGAUUCCUUCAAACAAAAGGAAUGAUCUACAUGUAAACGAG